RNAcentral lists this ribosomal RNA (253 nucleotides) under uncultured bacterium. Its description in RNAcentral is "partial 16S ribosomal RNA". It matches the Rfam family "Bacterial small subunit ribosomal RNA", at positions 524 to 776 of the family's 1533-position model. The record is from RNAcentral.
UACGGGGGGAGCAAGCGUUGUUCGGAAUUACUGGGCGUAAAGCGCACGUAGGCGGACUGUUAAGUCGGGGGUGAAAUCCUGGGGCUCAACCUCAGAAUUGCCUCCGAUACUGGCAGUCUCGAGUGCGGGAGAGGUGAGUGGAAUUCCCAGUGUAGAGGUGAAAUUCGUAGAUAUUGGGAAGAACACCAGUGGCGAAGGCGGCUCACUGGCCCGUAACUGACGCUGAGGUGCGAAAGCGUGGGGAGCAAACAGG